AGCAGCUGCGGUAAUUCCAGCUCCAAUAGCGUAUAUUAAAGUUGUUGCAGUUAAAAAGCUCGUAGUUGAAUUUCGGGAUUAGUGCGCCGGUCGUGCCUUCGGUAUGUACUGGUGUUACUGGUUCCUACCUUCUGACGAACCGUCAUGUCAUUAAUUUGGUGUGGCGGGGAAUCAGGACUGUUACUUUGAAAAAAUUAGAGUGUUUAAAGCAGGCUCGCGCUUGAAUACAUUAGCAUGGAAUAAUGAAAUAGGACGUUCGAUCCUAUUUUGUUGGUUUCUAGGAUUGACGUAAUGAUUAAUAGGGAUAGUUGGGGGCAUUAGUAUUCAAUUGUCAGAGGUGAAAUUCUUGGAUUUAU
RNAcentral lists this ribosomal RNA (356 nucleotides) under uncultured Glomeraceae. RNAcentral describes it as "SSU rRNA". It matches the Rfam family "Eukaryotic small subunit ribosomal RNA", at positions 569 to 929 of the family's 1831-position model. Lineage: Eukaryota; Fungi; Glomeromycota; Glomeromycetes; Glomerales; Glomeraceae. The record is from RNAcentral.